GUUCUCUAGGAUUAAUGGGAAAAACAUGAACGUCACAAUGAAUUUCUCCUAAAAUGUUGAUUUACAAUUUACUUUCUCAAGAUUCAUUUUGAAUUAUAGAAAUCAUCUUCUACUGUAACCUUCUACAGAAGGAUUUCAAAAUGAAUGUACUAUCUGUGGGACAGGGACAGGCUGAGCACCCGCUUCACUAAGUACCUGCUUCACAUCACCUUUCACAUUUUCUAGAAAAACAGCCGUUGUAGAAUCAACAUGCUCCCUUCAACAAAAAUGGAAACAAGCGAAGACCCUAAGAAUGCCACCGCUGCCAGCAGUUAAUGAUGCUGGGGCUAUGCACGCAAGCUUCAGCAAAGAAAGUUUUCAAGACAGUGUGUGCCUCACUAGCCAGAAAUCAGGAAAUUUCGUCUCAGUUGCUCCUUAAAUCAGCGCAACCCUUCCGAAUGAACAUGAAUUGAAACAUGCAUUGGCUUUUCAACUUAAUUGAGUAAUUACUACAUGUGAAUCACUAUACGGAGCAGGAGAAGGAACAUGAGAGAGGGAAGGAGACAAAUAAGAUGUGGUCCCUGCUGUCCAUAGGUUUAUUCGUUUCAAUGAACAUUUUUUUGUGUGUCUUCUGUUCUUACUAAGUGUGUCUCUAAGACAGGAAACAAAUGGAAGAGUAUAUUUCUCUGAGUAUUUUAAGUUCCUUUAAUAAAAAACAAAACAAAACUUCUAAUGUGAACAAUUCAGGACAUCUUAAUUCCAUUUAAUUUUGAACCUUAAUUCCAUUUCUUUUUGGACCUUAAUUCCAUUUCUUUUUGGACUUCUGAUAGGUAGGAUCCUUUUUGUUGAUUUCAAAAAUGUUCUGUAGACUUUAGAGAUAUCAACACAUUAUAGUUGGAGUUAACUUGAAUUAAAUUCCUUUUUCCCUGUAGGUGUAGAGUGUCUGUUGGAAAACUAUAUUAUGUUUGUACAUCGGUGGGGAGUGGGGUGACGGAAUCACAUCUGUUUCAAUAGGCCUCUACCUUGAACGCCUAGGGGCCUGCCGUCCUGAGUGAAUUAUUAGCAUGGAGGAGGGGAAGGUUUGGGUCAAGCUUGGGGUCCUUACUCAUGGACCCAAGACAGGGCAGGACAGGAGCCAAACAGACCUGGAAAAUGGCCGUGUGUGAAAAUUUGGCUAUUUCAGUAUUCCUGGUGUUGUCCUCUAUGUUCUAUAAGUUGAGUGACUAUAUACUUUUUCCAAAAAAUUAGUUCUGAUCUGGGAGUAAGUCAUGAUUUUUCCAGUGUUGAGACACUAAUAUGAUUGUUGACACUAGACAUUUUAUGUUGAGUCUGUGACACAUUUUGUUAUGUAUGCGCCAACCAUCGACAUGUCUUUGUCUUGAGAGUGUCCAUCUGAAUUGAAAAUGUGCCAGCGUUUUAACAUUAUCAACAGACUUCUUAAUUAAGCUGCCAAUGCACACUGCCAAUAGUACUGUGUGUCCUCUGAGAAAUGAAUCGUGUAAGUGCUGUUUCUCUCUUGUUGAAUAAAUAAUGUUACUCCAUAUAAAA
Long non-coding RNA from Myotis daubentonii (Daubenton's bat), 1527 nucleotides. RefSeq lists it as uncharacterized. The record is from RefSeq and is a predicted model, not a curated record. NCBI's taxonomy places the organism in Eukaryota, Metazoa, Chordata, Mammalia, Chiroptera, Vespertilionidae. The transcript is spliced from 2 exons.